UUGGAUUGAGAACAACGCACAACACUUAUCGAUAAACAAUUGGAGGGCAAGUCUGGUGCCAGCAGCCGCGGUAAUUCCAGCUCCAAUAGCGUAUAUUAACGUUGUUGCAGUUAAAAAGCUCGUAGUUGAAGUGAAGUGUGAAUCUUUUGGAUUUUCGUUUGAAUUUCCUUUAGCUUCAUACUCUUUCCAAAUAGUUUGCAUGGGUAUUUACUUAUCUGUGUAUUGCAUUUGGUCAUUUACUGUGAGAAAAUUAGAGUGUUCAAAGCAUACGUUUGUUUGAAUACAUUAGCAUGGAAUAAUUCGAAAAGGCUUUCAUGUUCGAUUUGAUUGGUUUGUUCGUGAAGGCAAGAUUAAAAGGGACAGUUGGGGGUAUUCAUAUUCAAUAGUCAGAGGUGA
Molecule: ribosomal RNA, 396 nt
Filed under: Blastocystis sp. subtype 10
Lineage: Eukaryota; Bigyra; Opalinata; Blastocystidae
Description: SSU rRNA
Rfam family: Eukaryotic small subunit ribosomal RNA
Source: RNAcentral